This 473-nucleotide ribosomal RNA is filed under the name uncultured bacterium. RNAcentral describes it as "bacterial SSU rRNA". It matches the Rfam family "Bacterial small subunit ribosomal RNA", at positions 335 to 801 of the family's 1533-position model. The record is from RNAcentral.
ACUCCUACGGGAGGCAGCAGUGGGGAAUAUUGCACAAUGGGCGCAAGCCUGAUGCAGCCAUGCCGCGUGUGUGAAGAAGGCCUUCGGGUUGUAAAGCACUUUCAGUCGUGAGGAAGGUAGUGUAGUUAAUAGCUGCAUUAUUUGUACGUUAGCGACAGAAGAAGCACCGGCUAACUCCGUGCCAGCAGCCGCGGUAAUACGGAGGGUGCGAGCGUUAAUCGGAAUUACUGGGCGUAAAGCGCAUGCAGGUGGUUGUUAAGUCAGAUGUGAAAGCCCGGGGCUCAACCUCGGAAUAGCAUUUGAAACUGGCAGACUAGAGUACUGUAGAGGGGGUAGAAUUUCAGGUGUAGCGGUGAAAUGCGUAGAGAUCUGAAGGAAUACCGGUGGCGAAGCGGCCCCUGGACAGAUACUGACACUCAGAUGCGAAAGGCGUGGGAGCAAACGAGGAUUAGAUACCCCGUGGUAGACUGUCA